This 21-nucleotide microRNA is filed under the name Mus musculus (house mouse). RNAcentral describes it as "mmu-miR-7050-3p". Lineage: Eukaryota; Metazoa; Chordata; Mammalia; Rodentia; Muridae. The record is from miRBase by way of RNAcentral.
UCUCAGCCUUUAUCUCCCCAG